GUCUAUGGCCAUGCUACCCUGAACACGCCCAAUCUCAUCUGAUCUUGAAAGCUAAGCAAGGUUAGGCCUGGUUAAUACUUGGAUGGGAGACCACCUAGGAAGACCGAGGUGUAAAAAAUA
RNAcentral lists this ribosomal RNA (120 nucleotides) under Pteropus alecto (black flying fox). Lineage: Eukaryota; Metazoa; Chordata; Mammalia; Chiroptera; Pteropodidae. The record is from RNAcentral.